GGAUGUAUAGCUCAGUGGUAGAGCAUUCGACUGCAGAUCGAGAGUUAUGCGGUUCAAACCCGGGUGUCCU
Molecule: transfer RNA, 70 nt
Filed under: Trichonephila inaurata madagascariensis
Lineage: Eukaryota; Metazoa; Arthropoda; Arachnida; Araneae; Nephilidae
Rfam family: tRNA
About the family: Transfer RNA (tRNA) molecules are approximately 80 nucleotides in length. Their secondary structure includes four short double-helical elements and three loops (D, anti-codon, and T loops).
Source: Rfam by way of RNAcentral